RNAcentral lists this long non-coding RNA (1602 nucleotides) under Nicotiana tabacum (common tobacco). Its description in RNAcentral is "long non-coding RNA (NTAB_LNC011205)". The record is from RNAcentral. Lineage: Eukaryota; Viridiplantae; Streptophyta; Magnoliopsida; Solanales; Solanaceae.
CUGUUUUGUUUCACUUCAUCUCCUUCAAAGAAACCUCCAUACCCUCUCCGCCAUUUCCGCCGGUGCAACCUCCAAACCACCGCCAAACUUCAACCAAAAUCACAACCCAGACUCCUUUUCGUCCCCUCUCUACAAAUCCACCAGUAAUUUCCCUUGAAUCACCACCAAACGAAGUUAAUUUCACAUCUAAAAAGGGCCGUAGAGCGAAAGCAAAAAUCUCCCAAAUAUUUUCAGGCUUUGAUGACUCGGUUAGAUCUGUAAUUAUUGUUUCUCGCCGGUUUAACAAGAACCCGUGACUAAUACCAAUUAUGGUUCAAAUUCGAAAGCGUCAGAGGUCCUCUCAAGCCAUAUUCGUCCUUUGUUUUAGGUAUUUAACUUCUAUCUUUUAUUUUUGCUUUUCUCAUCUUCAUCUCUUCUGAUUUUUUGCUUCUUUUUCCUCUAUUUUUUUAUUUGUUAGUUGUUCUAUACACCUUUAGGAUUGAAUUACAAUUGGUUUAAGUUAAUUAUUUUGUUAAACAUAUGUCGAUAUUUUAAGUUGCUUUCGAAAAAAAAAAGAGAAAGGAAAAAGGGUCUCAUGUUUCAGAUGUUGCAUUAGUUUGUUUGGACAGUCCGAUUAUGAAUUGAAAUGGGCUCAAAAUCAGAAGUUCAAGAGAGGGGGGAAUUAAGCCGGGUUGACAGGCCCAGUUUUAGAAGUUGGACCUUGGGUCAGCACUGACCUAUUUGGUUUCCCGCUAUAAAAAAACAUGGGUCUUGAGGGUUAAGUUGGGAAAAUUUGAUAAGGGAAUCUAUGGGUAACUGAUUAGGAAGCUUUUAGGAAGCUGGGGAAGGGAACUUAUUUGAACUUCUAAAUUUUUAACUAGGGGUAUCUAGGCUACAAUGAAAAUUCCAAAACGUUUUAACCGCAAAACUGAGUCUUGGAAGCUGCCCUAAAUAUCAUGCCUAUAAAGGCACUCUACCUUGAUAUUCAGGGCAGAGAUUCAGAGUUAGAAAAUCUAGAAAAUACAAACAGCUGAUUUUUGACUGUUUCAUUGAACUCUUUUUCAGUGACUUUUGAAUCUUUCAAUUUCCAAACGACUUUGAUUCAUCUGAGGUUGGAAAUGGAUUAGAAUUGGGGUUUUGAAAAAUUCUAGUUCAAGCUUGUGGUCGGGUUUACUGUUCUAUUGAAUGCUUGAAGCUGAUUUCACUAUUUUUACUGUUUAAAUCUGGGUUUAGCUGAUUCUGUGGUGCUGCUUCCUGUUUGAUAUCUCUGGUGCAGCUUACUGCUUCUCACCUAUUUUCUUUGUCCAUUUACAGGAACAAUUUUGAACUUUACCCAAUGUGAAAUCCAAUUUGAAGAGGAAAAUGAAAAUGAAGUUGAGAAAUGACAAUAGUUCUAUCUGCACUAGUUCUAUAUAAUGUCUAUUUUCGUUACUCGAUUCUUGGUGUAUGCUAGGUAGUUUUUAUUCUAAAAAUUCAAAUUCAUUGAGUUGUAUUAGAUUUGGGACUGUUGUAAGCCUUGGAAAUAACCUGUUAACCGAGUUAAAUUCAGGACAGAUGGAUUCUUGGGGAAUCUUGUGAUAUGAAUGGUAUUGAGAUUUGUUUGCUGAAUAGCUCACUUAAUUU